GGAUUAGAUACCCUGGUAGUCCAUGCCGUAAACGUUGGGCACUAGGUGUGGGGGACAUUCCACGUUUUCCGCGCCGUAGCUAACGCAUUAAGUGCCCCGCCUGGGGAGUACGGCCGCAAGGCUAAAACUCAAAGGAAUUGACGGGGGCCCGCACAAGCGGCGGAGCAUGCGGAUUAAUUCGAUGCAACGCGAAGAACCUUACCAAGGCUUGACAUGUACCGGAAACAUCCAGAGAUGGGUGCCCCGCAAGGUCGGUACACAGGUGGUGCAUGGUUGUCGUCAGCUCGUGUCGUGAGAUGUUGGGUUAAGUCCCGCAACGAGCGCAACCCUCGUUCCAUGUUGCCAGCAACACUUCGGUGGUUGGGGACUCAUGGGAGACUGCCGGGGUCAACUCGGAGGAAGGUGGGGAUGACGUCAAGUCAUCAUGCCCCUUAUGUCCAGGGCUUCACACAUGCUACAAUGGCCGGUACAAAGGGCUGCGAAACCGUGAGGUGGAGCGAAUCCCAUAAAGCCGGUCUCAGUUCGGAUCGGGGUCUGCAACUCGACCCCGUGAAGUCGGAGUCGCUAGUAAUCGCAGAUCAGCAACGCUGCGGUGAAUACGUUCCCGGGCCUUGUACACACCGCCCGUCACGUCAUGAAAGUCGGUAACACCCGAAGCCGGUGGCCCAACCCGUCAGGGGGGGAGCUGUCGAAGGUGGGACUGGCGAUUGGGACGAAGUCGUAACAAGGUAGCCGUA
RNAcentral lists this ribosomal RNA (737 nucleotides) under uncultured Terracoccus sp. RNAcentral's name for it is "bacterial SSU rRNA". It matches the Rfam family "Bacterial small subunit ribosomal RNA", at positions 775 to 1504 of the family's 1533-position model. The record is from RNAcentral. Lineage: Bacteria; Bacillati; Actinomycetota; Actinomycetes; Micrococcales; Intrasporangiaceae.